UUUUAAAGUAACACCCAUAUUUUCAUAUUUAAUCAUAUGCAAUAAAAAUCUUAUUUAAUACCACUUCCAAAUCUACUCCUCCACCUCAGAUCUUUUAUCCAACUCCAGAAUGUUCAUCAUAUUCUCAUCAACAUCUCAAAUCCAACAUGCCCCAAACUGGACUCCUAAUCUUUUUCCUAGAAAAUGCUCCAUCUGCCACCUUCCAUGUCAAUUGAUGAAAAUUCCUUCCUCCCAAAAGGUAAAAACCUUGGAGUCACUCUCCGCUCCUCUCUUUCUUUCCUACCACAGGCCAGUCUUCCACAAACCCUCCACUUCCCAGAUAGACUCAGAAUCUGUCACCUCACUCUCUGCUCACGUGCCUGGUCUUCCUCCCCCGCCUCCCCGAGCCACCAUCAUCAUUCUCACGGCUUGUUCUGGCAGCUUCCCGGCACACCUCCCUGCUCUCCACUUGUUCUCUUUCGUCCUCUGACAAGAAGGCAGAGUGCUCAUACUGACAGGAUGAAAAUGAAGAGACUGGGAAUUUUUCCUGCAGCGGUUUUAUAGCGCGCCAGAAAGUGAGAGGCUGAGAGCACUUCGGGACCUCUGAGUACUGACUCCGCGUUCUUCCUGGACUGUGGGAAGCUACGCCUGCAUUGCUCAUAAUGAGACUAAAUUAAAAGCCCAAAAAUGAGUUGCAUAAAAGCAAACUCAAUAGAACUCAGCUCGUAGACCUCAUGGCUUUAAGAAAAUGAGGUCUGAGUGUGUGUGGACAAGGCUACUUUUCCCUUAGCAUAGCACUGUCUUGUUACAAGAAGACCAAAGAAAAAGGUUUUUAUCCCAAAAUAUUGAAAAUAGGUCUUCAAACAAAUAUUUGUGCAUGAAUGUUCAAGGCAACACUAUUCACAUUAGCCAGAAGAUGGAAACAACCCAAUUGCUCAUCAGCUGAUGGACAGAUAAACA
Molecule: long non-coding RNA, 939 nt
Organism: Mustela erminea (ermine)
Lineage: Eukaryota; Metazoa; Chordata; Mammalia; Carnivora; Mustelidae
Exons: 4
Source: RefSeq, a predicted model, not a curated record